GAUGAAGAACGCAGCGAAAUGCGAUAAGUAAUGUGAAUUGCAGAAUUCAGUGAAUCAUCGAAUCUUUGAACGCACCUUGCACCCUUUGGCAUUCCGAAGGGUAUGCUCGUUUGAGUGUCAUUGUACUCUCACACUCCCAAUUGCUUUGGAUUGGGAGCGGUGGACUUGGGUGUUGCUGCUUGACUGAGGCUCACCUGAAAUAUGUUAGUGCACCUCUUGAUUGGACAUAGUACGGCGUGAUAAGUGUCUUCGCCGGCUCCUCGCAAAGAGGGUGGCCGAUCGGGAGCUCUGUUGCUUCAAACUGUCUUCGGACAAUCUUCUGGCGACUUGACCUCAAAUCGAGUAGGACUACCCGCUGAACUUAAGCAUAUCAUAAGCGGAGGA
Molecule: unclassified non-coding RNA, 384 nt
Filed under: soil metagenome
Description: partial contains 5.8S ribosomal RNA, internal transcribed spacer 2, and large subunit ribosomal RNA
Rfam family: 5.8S ribosomal RNA (bases 1-120)
Source: RNAcentral